AUUUACUGUUUGGUUACCCUAUUGUCAUGAAUCAGUCCGUUUCCCCCUCAGACCACCAGAGGGAGCCAUCGCCUGAGUUCUGCCUGUCUCCUGAUUCUCAUCUUCACUCCAUUUCCCAUAAGCCUCUGCCUGCUGUUCCCAGACCUCACCAGCUGUUCCUCAUUCAAGCAAUCACCACAAACAUUUAUAAGGAGGCUUCAGGCUGUGUUCAGAUGUGAAGUCUUGUUCGUUUCUACAAUUCUGAGCGUUAGCUUCUACUGUCUUGUUCCUGUGCAAGUCUGCCGUUCCUGACCUCUGCCAAGUUCACCACGUACUAUCCAAGCUCCUUAAAUAUGGUUAUGGAUCCAUCUGACUCGUUACACCUAUAAAGAGAUGAUAAGGUGUCCGGUUUGCAUUUUUGAAAUACAUCAGAAAGUCAGUGAGACGUGAAAAAUAGUGGAUGAAUCAUUGCUCGAGCUCGACACGUCGCUCCUCAACACGUCACCGCUCUCCAGACAGACAGAAACACAAGUUUCCUCUCGUUUGCCUGAUUUUCCCGGGACUGAGGAAUGCUGAAAGUCCGUAGGUGUUUCCACCUCACCUUGGUUACUGAUUGGAUGGGACUGCGGCUGCGGGUGAGUCACGGCAGCUCGCAGCAGGUGUGGUUUAGUGAUGACCAGCUUCUGUUAGCAUCAAAGGGAAGGCUGGGUCAGCUGGAUCGAGAGGAAACUUUGCAGGAGCUCUCAUGCACGUAGAGGCUGAAAACACCCACGCUGUGCGUGCCCCUCUGCUUUUCUGCGAGGCCCUGCCCUGCCCUAAAGGUGUACAAACAGGUGUGUGCUUGCAUACAUCAGCAAGAAGAAAAGGAUUACCUUGUGACGGAUGCUUGUCUCUCCGCCAGUGACAUGAGCAUCGCCUCAAUUCGGUAUUUCAUCUGGACUUCCCAGCGCUCUUUGGAGCGUGUUACAAAGAAACCAGGUGAAGAAUUCCAAGCUCAUCAGGUUGUAUUAUUUCAAGUCCAAGUUUUAAAGCCUCAAAAGCUCAAACUCCACAGGCCUCAGCGCUGGAGGCGCCUUGGAGACAGGAUUAGGUGGAAGGAUCAGUCAGUAACAUUCCAUCAGUCUGAAUGCUUUUCGGUGUGCAUGUCCAGCAAGCAGAAGUAAAGAGAAAAGGAGCUCAUUAACAGAGGCGUUGUCCGUUUAGAAGUGGUUUCUGAGCAUCACUUUAAAGACCGUCUUCCAGAAAGAUUACCUGAACAUGUCCUAAUGCUAUAAAACAGCAUAUUUAAUGAUGAUGGACUUCAAAGCAAUCACCACAACAAAGAACAAAGCCGGCCUUUAAAUUGUAAAAGGAAUGAAGGUAAAAAUGAUCUGUGAAACUAAACGUUUCCAGAGAGCGCCCAAACAAAUUUAGACAAUCCACGGGAAUUCCACGGAAAUCCCGUGACUCAUGGGAUUCCCCAAAAAAUGUCAGCCUCUAAUGUGAACAUUACAGUUUUUUAUUUACAUCACUAUGCAUGAAUUAACUCCUCUUUUGUUGCAUCAAUUCAAUUCUGGUUUAAUUGAUGAAGGUUAUCUCCUUCUGUAUGUCCACCGUUGCUUGACAAAGUUGUGUUGCUGCUGUCUUUUGUGUUGUUUUCAUCUAAUUUGUUCAGAAAUUCUCUUGAAGACUUGAAGUUUUGGUUAAAGAUAAAAGUAGAAACUGCGUACACACAAUAGGUUUCAUCUCUGUGUGCACAAAUGGAACAGGAGAUGAAAGGUCAAAGGUGGACUUGUUUAGUUGUUUAAACUCCUAAAACCUGGAGGCCACGCUGACACGGAGAUCUGAGCUGGUAAGCUAAGCAGGUCAAAGUUUGCUUCUUCUCACACCCACCUACUUCUAGGAUGUCAACUGUGAUGACAUCAGACUUGGCCUUGCCCAGCUGGUUGGAGGCCUCCACCCAGAUCUCGUACGGCGUGAAGAGGUGGAGGUCCUGGGUGAUGCUGCAGGAGUACGGCAGAGUGUGGCUGUUGUCCUUGCACUCCUUCUCUGUGCCGUACCAUCUGUGAACACAAACCACGGAAAUCACUGGAUUGUAAAGUACCACACUUCAUAAAAUACCAUCAUCUUUUUUUUACUUAUUUGCAGACUUUUUUCAAAUUAAAAAAAAAAUUAAGCU
Molecule: long non-coding RNA, 2137 nt
Organism: Oryzias melastigma (Indian medaka)
Lineage: Eukaryota; Metazoa; Chordata; Actinopteri; Beloniformes; Adrianichthyidae
Exons: 2
Source: RefSeq, a predicted model, not a curated record